AAACAAGUUGCAUGAAAAUGUAAAUGGAAGAUGAAUGGUAAAUAUACUGAAAUUUAAAUUGCAUUAAGUAAAUGACUUGAAAGUAAAAGCAUAAUGAAUAAGAGUUAGUCAAGUGUGUGUCAAAUGUUAGUGAAGAGUUUUAAUUUUCUUAAGUCAUUCUUUGGAGAACACUCAACCAUUUAUUCACAAGUAUGAAUCCUUGAACCAAG
Molecule: long non-coding RNA, 209 nt
Filed under: Lathyrus oleraceus (garden pea)
Lineage: Eukaryota; Viridiplantae; Streptophyta; Magnoliopsida; Fabales; Fabaceae
Description: Pisum sativum (pea) long non-coding RNA (PSAT_LNC005954)
Source: RNAcentral